Molecule: long non-coding RNA, 200 nt
Filed under: Lathyrus oleraceus (garden pea)
Lineage: Eukaryota; Viridiplantae; Streptophyta; Magnoliopsida; Fabales; Fabaceae
Description: Pisum sativum (pea) long non-coding RNA (PSAT_LNC024037)
Source: RNAcentral
GGUCAAGCAAGGAAAGGAAAUCAAAAGAAGCAAACACAGCCAUGGGAGAUUAUGAUGAUGAACUUAUGUUAUUGAUGGCUUAUGAAUCUGAUGGUGGAUAUUUCGUAGACUUGUGGUAUAUGGACAUCGGCUUCCCAAUUCUCCUAACUGGUAACAAGCAAUGGCUGAUUAAUUUUGACUAUAGAAAGAGGAUAAAGAUC